UGGGGAAUAUUGGACAAUGGGCGCAAGCCUGAUCCAGCAAUGCCGCGUGAGUGAUGAAGGCCUUCGGGUUGUAAAGCUCUUUCGCACGCGACGAUGAUGACGGUAGCGUGAGAAGAAGCCCCGGCUAACUUCGUGCCAGCAGCCGCGGUAAUACGAAGGGGGCUAGCGUUGUUCGGAAUUACUGGGCGUAAAGGGCGCGUAGGCGGUGUGUCAAGUCAGGCGUGAAAGCCCCGGGCUCAACCUGGGAACAGCGCUUGAGACUGGCACGCUCGAGUUCGGGAGAGGAUGGUGGAAUUCCCCAGUGUAGAGGUGAAAUUCGUAGAUAUUGGGAAGAACACCGAUGGCGAAGGCAGCCAUCUGGACCGACACUGACGCUGAGGCGCGAAAGCGUGGGGAGCAAACAGGAUUAGAUACCCUGGUAGUCCACGCCGUAAACGAUGAGUGCUAGACGUCGGGGCCCUUAGGGUUUCGGUGUCGCAGCUAACGCAUUAAGCACUCCGCCUGGGGGAGUACGGCCGCAAGGUUAAAACUUAAAUGAAUUGACGGGGUCAUAGCUGUUUCC
RNAcentral lists this ribosomal RNA (562 nucleotides) under uncultured bacterium. RNAcentral describes it as "partial 16S ribosomal RNA". It matches the Rfam family "Bacterial small subunit ribosomal RNA", at positions 355 to 937 of the family's 1533-position model. The record is from RNAcentral.